GGACGUGUGGUCUUAUUUCGUUGGUUUCUAGGACCGCCGUAAUGAUUAAUGGGGACAGUCGGGGGCAUCAGUAUUCAAUCGUCAGAGGUGAAAUUCUUGGAUCGAUUGAAGACUGACUGCUGCGAAAGCAUUUGCCAAGGAUGUUUUCAUUUAUCAGGAACGAAAGUUAGGGGAUCGAAGACGAUCAGAUACCGUCGUAGUCUUGACCAUAAACUAUGCCGACUAGGAAUCGGACGGUGUUAUUUCUUGACCCGUUCGGCACCUUACGAGAAAUCAAAGUGCUUGGGCUCCAGGGGGAGUAUGGUCGCAAGGCUGAAACUUAAAGAAAUUGACGGAAGGGCACCACCAGGGGUGGAGCCUGCGGCUUAAUUUGACUCAACACGGGGAAACUCACCAGGUCCAGACACAACGAGGAUUGACAGAUUGAGAGCUCUUUCUUGAUUUUGUGGGUGGUGGUGCAUGGCCGUUCUUAGUUGGUGGAGUGAUUUGUCUGCUUAAUUGCGAUAACGAACGAGACCUUAACCUGCUAACUAGUCCGUAUUACCCCGGU
Molecule: ribosomal RNA, 550 nt
Filed under: uncultured fungus
Lineage: Eukaryota; Fungi
Description: SSU rRNA
Rfam family: Eukaryotic small subunit ribosomal RNA
Source: RNAcentral